This 775-nucleotide ribosomal RNA is filed under the name uncultured Neocallimastigales. Its description in RNAcentral is "partial large subunit ribosomal RNA". It matches the Rfam family "Eukaryotic large subunit ribosomal RNA", at positions 24 to 644 of the family's 3401-position model. The record is from RNAcentral. Lineage: Eukaryota; Fungi; Neocallimastigomycota; Neocallimastigomycetes; Neocallimastigales.
UAUGUGAUCGUCUCUCGCAUAUCAAUAAGCGGAGGAAAAGAAACUAACAAGGAUUCCCCUAGUAACGGCGAGUGAAGCGGGAAGAGCUCAAAUUUGAAAUCUUAAAGGGUUUCCCUUUACGAAUUGUAGUUUAAAGAAGUGUUUUCUGUUGAGGUUUUGGUAAAAGUUCUUUGGAAUAGGACAUCAUAGAGGGUGAGAAUCCCGUAUUUGACCUUUACUUUCAACUUUGUGAUACACUUUCAAAGAGUCGGAUUGUUUGAGAAUGCAGUCCAAAAUGGGUGGUAAAUUUCAUCUAAAGCUAAAUAUUGGCGAGAGACCGAUAGCGAACAAGUACCGUGAGGGAAAGAUGAAAAGAACUUUGAAAAGAGAGUUAAACAGUACGUGAAAUUGUCAAAAGGGAAGCGUUUGACACCAGUGUUGUUUUUCUGAAAAUCAAUUAAAGAACUGUUUAUGCUAAGCUGUUUAGACUUUUAUCAGCUAUCUGUUUAGUUUUGAGCUUUUCUUUAAUGCACUUUUCAGUUAACAAGUCAACAUCAAUUUCUUUUGCUGUAAAAAAGCUUGAGGAAGGUGGCUUGAGAUUCAUCUUAAGUGUUUAUAGCCUCUUGCCUAUGCAGUCGGAGAGAUUGAGGUCUGCAGCGUAGAUCCUUCGGGGCUAAAUGCAUUUGUGCUAAGUUAUAACAUUUUAUAGACAACUUGUUGACUAUGAUUUGUCUUGUAGCUUACUCGCUUAUGUUAUUUUACCUACGCUUAGGAUGUUGAAGAUAUGCGCGACACG